AAUUCCCUCCAAAUGGAGUGUGAGAGCGAUCUUGAGGUGAAUUCAAUCAGAAUUCCAAAGUCAGUCUGUGGAAGGGGGGGAUGAAUCUGGAAACAGCCAGUUUCUUUGUGUCUAAAUCCAGCCAAAUAUCACAAAGGACUCUUGCAUUUCUUUGGCUUUUUUCUCUUUUUUCUUAUUUAUCAUGGUUUGUAAUGAAUUUUCUGAUGUGAGCUUUGGUUUUGAGGCUGGAAUAUUGAGUUCAGGGCACAAGAGGAAGGUUCUUUUUCAAUCAGGGCACAGCUGUUGGCUUGCUCCACUUCUGGCUUGCUGUCAUUGUUUUGGGUGCCUCAGCUGAUUUGUGGUUUCUUGUGUGGCAAUUUCCUAAAUGUUUUCGGGGUCUGAGUUGGUUUUGCCUUCUUCCUUCCCAAUUUUUGUAUUCUGAUGCAAUACAAGCAAGAUUUUGGACAGAGUAGCCAUUAUGAAAGAAAAAAAAAACACAGCAAAUUUACCAUUCAGGAUUAGAAAUCCAUAGGCAACACAACCAAGAUGAGAUUCUGUGUUUUGGAAAAUGACAUGGAACGCUUCUGCUGAGGUGACAGAUUCUAAUUCCCUCCAAAUGGAGUGUGAGAGCGAUCUUGAGGUGAAUUCAAUCAGAAUUCCAAAGUCAGUCUGUGGAAGGGGGGGAUGAAUCUGGAAACAGCCAGUUUCUUUGUGUCUAAAUCCUGCCAAAUAUCACAAAGGACUCUUGCAUUUCUUUGGCUUUUUCACAUUUCCCUUAUUUAUCAUGGUUUGUAAUGAAUUUUCUGAUGUGAGCUUUGGUUUUGAGGCUGGCAUAUUGAGUUCAGGGCACAAGAGGAAGGUUCUUUUUCAAUCAGGGCACAGCUGUUGGCUUGCUCCACUUCUGGCUUGCUGUCAUUGUUUUGGGUGCCUCAGCUGAUUUGUGGUUUCUUGUGUGGCAAUUUACUAAAUGUUUUCUGGGUCUGAGUUGGUUUUGCCUUCUUCCUUCCCAAAUUUUGUAUUCUGAUGCAAUACAAGCAAGAUUUUGGACAGAGUAGCCAUUAUGAAAGAAAAAAAAAAACACAGCAAAUUGACCUUUCAGGAUUAGAAAUCCAUAGGCAACACAACCAAGAUGAGAUUCUGUGUUUUGGAAAAUGACAUGGAACGCUUCUGCUGAGGUGACAGAUUCUAAUUCCCUCCAAAUGGAGUGUGAGAGCGAUCUUGAGGUGAAUUCAAUCAGAAUUCCAAAGUCAGUCUGUGGAAGGGGGGGAUGAAUCUGGAAACAGCCACUUUCUUUGUGUCUAAAUCCUGCCAAAUAUCACAAAGGACUCUUGCAUUUCUUUGGCUUUUUCACAUUUCCCUUAUUUAUCAUGGUUUGUAAUGAAUUUUCUGAUGUGAGCUUUGGUUUUGAGGCUGGCAUAUUGAGUUCAGGGCACAAGAGGAAGGUUCUUUUUCAAUCAGGGCACAGCUGUUGGCUUGCUCCACUUCUGGCUUGCUGUCAUUGUUUUGGGUGCCUCAGCCGAUUUGUGGUUUCUUGAGUGCCAAUUUCCUAAAUGUUUUCUGGGUCUGAGUCGGUUUUGCCUUCUUAUUCCCAAAUUUUGUAUUCUGAUGCAAUACAAGCAAGAUUUUGGAGAGUAGCCAUUAUGAAAGAAAGAAAAAAAAAAAAAACACAGCGCAUUGCCCUUUCAGGAUUAGAAAUCUACAGGCAACACGACCAAGAUGAGUUUCUGUGUUUUGGAAAAUGACAUAGAACGCUUCUGCUGAGGGGACAGAUUCUAAUUCCCUCCCAAAUGAGUGUGAGUGCGAUUUUGAGGUGAAUUCAAUCAGAAUUCCAAAGUCAGUCUGUGGAAGGGGGGGAUGAAUCUGGAAACAGCCAGUUUCUUUGUGUCUAAAUCCAGCCAAAUAUCACAAAGGACUCUUGCAUUUCUUUGGCUUUUUCACAUUUCCCUUAUUUAUCAUGGUUUGUAAUGAAUUUUCUGAUGUGAGCUUUGGUUUUCAGACUGCAAUAUAGAGUUCAGGGCACCUGAGGAAUGGUCUUUUUCAAACAGGGCACAGCUGUUGGUGUGCUCCAAUUCUGGCUAUUGUCUUUGUUUUGGGUGCCUCAGCUGAAAUUUGGUUUCUUGAGUUUCACUGCGAUUGUCAGGUUAAUUCAGUCAGAAUUCCACAGGCAGUCAGCUUUAGUGGUGGAUGAAUCUGGGAACAGCCGGUUUCCUUGCAACUAAAUCAAACCCAAUAUCAUUAUGGAUUCUUGCAUUUUUUUGGCUUUUUUCUCUUUUUUCUUAUUUAUCAUGGUUUGUAAUGAAUUUUCUGAUGUGAGCUUUGGUUUUGAGGCUGGCAUAUUGAGUUCAGGGCACAAGAGGAAGGUUGUUUUUCAAUCAGGGCACAGCUGUUGGCUUGCUCCACUUCUGGCUUGCUGUCAUUGUUUUGAGUGCCUCAGCCGAUUUGUGGUUUCUUGUGUGGCAAUUUCCCAAAUGUUUUCAGGGUCUGAGUUGGCUUUGCCUUCUUCCUUCCCAAAUUUUGUAUUCUGAUGCAAUGCAAAGAAGAGUUUGUACAGAAUAGCCAUUAUGAAAGAAAAAACACAACAAAUAGGCGUUUGAAGCUUAGAAAUCUACAGGUAACAUGACCAAGGUGAGUUUUUGUGUUUAUGAAAAUAAAAUGGAACACUUUGGCUGAGGUGACAGAUAUUAAUUGCCUCCAAACUGAGUUUCACUGUGAUUUUCAGGUUAAUUCAGUCAGAAUUCCACAGGCUGUCAGCUGGAGGGGUGGAUGUAUCUGGGAACAGCCGGUUUCCUAGCGACUAAAUCAAGCCCUAUAUCAUUAUGGA
Oryctolagus cuniculus (rabbit) is the source of this 2800-nucleotide non-coding RNA. Lineage: Eukaryota; Metazoa; Chordata; Mammalia; Lagomorpha; Leporidae. The record is from RefSeq and is a predicted model, not a curated record.